UGGGUGAAACGUUAGCCAAAAUGUUGUCCGACUGGCAGUCAUCUUUUUAUUUAAUUUCAUCUUCGCCAUGUGACUUUGUGACUGUCUAGUAUCGAUAUCAGAGCGUUAGUAUCUGAUUUGUCAAGAAAAAGUGAAAGAUUUGAUGGAGAACUAGAGACAAUGGUGGCGAAAUAAUGGCACGCAGUGAAGGGACCAAAAACGUGAAAAUUGCCAGAGGCUUUCGUGGGAGUUCGUCGUGAAAAGAAUUUUCGUCAAAAUAAAUAAGCAGAGGAGACAUCCACCUGUCCGCCCACGCCGCUCAACUUUAUUGGACAAUCAAAAUGCGCGCCAACGCCAUCGAGGAUCUUCUUAAAGUUCUCGACAGCAACGCCGGUCAGUCGCUUGUGCUCGAUCCGCUCAAUGCCGGCGAUGGUGUCGCCGCUGGAAUGCCUGAUCGUCCUGCUCGUCUGAUUCUCGGCAGAAGCCACACUGAGUCGCCCCAUGUUGUUUUUGCCGUGCUGCUGUUGGUGGUGAAAGCCGAGGGCCGCCUGCUGGUCACGCUGCUGCUCCCGGGGGUCUUGACAGCGCGUGCAAAACACACAAACCAGUGUGUUGCGAAAGGCUUCCCGGAAAUCCUUAUUGAAGUAGGCGUAGAUAAGCGGAUUGAGGGUCGAAUUGAAAUAGCCGAUCCAGAAGAGGACUUCAACGACGAUGUCGGGACAGUAGCAGAGGUCACCACACAAGGUGACGGACAUAUACCAGCUGAAGAACGGCAACCAGCACAGCACGAAAGCCCCCAUAAUGAUGCCCAGCGUCCGGGCCGCCUUGUGCUCUCGUCUGAUCUUCUGCAGGUGUUUGCUGUCUUUGCUGAUGGUCGGUGUGUUGCUGCACGUGUCGUCUCGACACUGGUACCGACAUGUGUCCGACGAUCCUUCCAGCAAAGCGCUCCGAUCACCCGCGCUGAUCCUCUUGUUUUCCGGCUGGGGUGGCGGCGGUGAAGAAGAAAUCGAAGUGGAAAUUUGUGCACUGCCGUUUUGUUGCGGCGAUUUGCCGUUUGUUUCCAGCAAGACAUCCGGUUUGGUCACCUGGAUAGCCGGCAAAACAAUCACCGUAUUGUUGGGUCCGUUAACAGCCGAAUUUACGACUGCAGUGGCCGCCGUCGAGACGGGAUCCUGAUUAAUCUGCUGCUGUUGCAUGUGGUGGAUUUGGUGCUGCUCCAUCUCGGCACUGCGACGCUGGUUUUGCUGGCGAAACAACAGGGCGGCGUCGGCGUUCUUGAGCAGCAUCUUUUCCUGUCUAGAGGCCAUUUCGUAGAUGCGGUAAUACGUGUAAAGCAUAAUGGCGCAGGGAAUCCAGAAGGAGAUGCUGGAGGAGAUGAGGGCGUAAACUUUGUUGACGACGAAUCGACAAGUGUUGGGAUUCUGCACACGUUUACCAUCCGAGGAAUAUGGGCAGGUAGGAAAUGAGUGCCGGCCAAGUCCAGAUGUUGGCCAGCAUGACGGCCACCUUCUUGCGGGUGAUCUUCAUCGGGUACAUGAGCGGCUGUGAGAUGGCGUAGUAACGGUCAACGCUGAUGCAGCACAGGUGCAGAAUGGAGACGGUGCAGCAGUAGACGUCGAAACUGUUCCAGAUAUCACCUGAUUGACUUACACAUGGCGUAGCCAAAGAUCCAUUGGCCGAAGAUGAUGACGCUGGCGUUAAACCCCAUGGCGACGAGUGCCACCAGGAUGUCGGCCAUGGCCAGCGACACGACAAAGUAAUUGGUGAUGAUGCGCAAUUUGCGGAAGCGCGCUACGCUAAUGAUGACGAGCAGGUUGCCGAAAAUGGAGGCGGCAAUGAUGAGUCCCAUCAGGAAAGUCUUGACGACCAGAGUCAGUGUCAAGAACCAAUCGACGGCAGCGUCGGCGUCGUCGCCAUCGUCGAGACCUCCGCCCAGCUCAGCGUCCAUUAUCGAAUAACUAGUGGCGUCGAACAGCGACGAGCCGUUGUCUAUCAACGCAGACAAUUCCGUAUUAACGUCCAUGGCCAUCCCGACCGCUCCUAUUGGUAGGAGACCUAUAAAUAGAUAAAGAAAAAGCAAUCAAUUGAAAAUCCCGAUCGAAACGAUAUCAACGGCAAAUGCACAACAGACAGAAAUAGAUCUAGAAAUUGGUCCUGAUGUAAUUUUCUGUUAGUCAAAAAUACAAAAAGACGUUUUCAAAGAAA
Molecule: long non-coding RNA, 2184 nt
Organism: Daphnia pulex (common water flea)
Lineage: Eukaryota; Metazoa; Arthropoda; Branchiopoda; Diplostraca; Daphniidae
Exons: 5
Source: RefSeq, a predicted model, not a curated record